This 431-nucleotide long non-coding RNA is filed under the name Pan troglodytes (chimpanzee). RNAcentral describes it as "long non-coding RNA NONPTRT011342". The record is from RNAcentral. Lineage: Eukaryota; Metazoa; Chordata; Mammalia; Primates; Hominidae.
AUUCUCCUGCCUCAGUCUCCCGAGUAGCUGGGAUUACAGGUGAGCGCCACCACAACCAGCUAAUUUUUUGUAUCUUUAGCACCCAGCCUGGUCACCUAGGUAUUAAGCCCUGCAUGCAUUAGCUAUUCAUCCUGAUGCUCUCCCUCCCCUCACCCACCCAGACACGCCCCAGGCACACUAUUAUCUUAUAUGCAGUGACAUUUGAGUUUUGCAAUAUCUUCAUUUCUUGGCUCUCAAUAAAUUUCUUUUGUUUAUAAAUUACCCAGUCUAAGAUAUUUUGUUAUAGCAGCCCACACUGACUAAGACAGGCCCCUUUCCCUUCCCACACCCCAUGGGCCUGGAAUACUUCCAAGCUAGCUUCUGAUUCCCGUCUCUACUAAAAAUACAAAAAUUAGCCAGGCAUGGUGGCAUGCGCCUGUAAUCCCAGCUAC